UACGUAGGGGGCGAGCGUUGUCCGGAAUCAUUGGGCGUAAAGAGCGUGUAGGCGGUCUGGAAGGUCUGGUGUGAAAGCCCGGGGCUCAACCCCGGAGGGUCACUGGAAACCAACAGUCUUGAAUCUGGAAGAGGAGAGUGGAAUUCCUGGUGUAGCGGUGGAAUGCGCAGAUAUCAGGAGGAACACCGAUGGCGAAGGCAGCUCUCUGGUACAUGAUUGACGCUGAGACACGAAAGCGUGGGGAGCAAACAGG
This 253-nucleotide ribosomal RNA is filed under the name uncultured bacterium. RNAcentral's name for it is "partial 16S ribosomal RNA". It matches the Rfam family "Bacterial small subunit ribosomal RNA", at positions 524 to 776 of the family's 1533-position model. The record is from RNAcentral.